GUGAGGAAUUUUCCGCAAUGGGCGAAAGCCUGACGGAGCAAUGCCGCGUGAAGGAUGAAGGCCUAUGGGUUGUAAACUUCUUUUCUCAGAAAAGAAUUAUGACGGUAUCUGAGGAAUAAGCAUCGGCUAACUCUGUGCCAGCAGCCGCGGUAAGACAGAGGAUGCAAGCGUUAUCCGGAAUGAUUGGGCGUAAAGCGUCUGUAGGUUGUUUAAAAAGUAUUCUGUCAAAGAUUAGGGCUUAACCCUAGAUAGGCAGAAUAAACUUUUAAGCUAUAGGUUGGUAGAGGCAGAGGGAAUUCCCGGUGGAGCGGUGAAAUGCGUAGAUAUCGAGAGGAACACCAAAGGCGAAGGCACUCUGCUGGGCCAAUACUAACACUGAGAGACGAAAGCGAGGGGAGCAAAUGGGAUUAGAUACCCCAGUAGUCC
RNAcentral lists this ribosomal RNA (426 nucleotides) under uncultured bacterium. Its description in RNAcentral is "partial 16S ribosomal RNA". It matches the Rfam family "Bacterial small subunit ribosomal RNA", at positions 354 to 796 of the family's 1533-position model. The record is from RNAcentral.